UGCCUCAGUAACGGCGAGUGAAGCGGCAGCAGCUCAAAUUUGAAAUCUGGCACCCGCCCGAGUUGUAAUUUGGAGAGGACGCCUUGGGGGCCGGCCCCGGUCCAAGUCCCUUGGAACAGGACGCCGCGGAGGGUGAGAGUCCCGUAUGCGGCCGGGUGCCGUCCCCGCGCAAGGCUCCUUCGACGAGUCGAGCUGUUUGGGAAUGCAGCUCCAAACGGGAGGUAUAUUCCUUCUAAGGCUAAAUACCGGCCGGAGACCGAUAGCGCACAAGUAGAGUGAUCGAAAGAUGAAAAGCACUUUGGAAAGAGAGUUAAAGAGUACGUGAAAUUGCUGAAAGGGAAGCGUUUGCGGCCAGACUUGACCGCGGUUGCUCAGCCGGUCCACUGCCCGGCGCACUCUUCCGCGGUCAGGCCAGCAUCAGUUCGGGCGGCCGGAGGAAGGCUCCGGGAACGUAGCCCCCCGGGGUGUUAUAGCCCGCUGCACAACACGGCCCGCCCGGACUGAGGACAGCGCCUGCUAGGAUGCUGGCGUAAUGGCAGCCAACGGCCCGUCUUGAAACACGGACCAAGGAGUCUAGCACGCGUGCGAGUGUUUGGGUGUCAAACCCGGGCGCGCAAUGAAAGUGAAUGGAGGUGGGAGCCGCGGCGCACCAUCGACCGAUCCCGAUGUGCUCGGAAGGAUUUGAGUAGGAGCACGCGUGCUGGGACCCGAAAGAUGAUGAACUAUGCCUAGAUAGACCGAAGCCGCCCGAAAGGGCGGUGGAGGGUCGCAGCGGUUCUGACGUGCAAAUCGAUCGUCAAAUCCGGGCAUAGGGGCGAAAGACU
RNAcentral lists this ribosomal RNA (824 nucleotides) under Inocyclus angularis. RNAcentral's name for it is "eukaryotic LSU rRNA". It matches the Rfam family "Eukaryotic large subunit ribosomal RNA", at positions 76 to 932 of the family's 3401-position model. The record is from RNAcentral. Lineage: Eukaryota; Fungi; Ascomycota; Dothideomycetes.